This 1187-nucleotide ribosomal RNA is filed under the name Aspergillus niger. RNAcentral's name for it is "partial large subunit ribosomal RNA". It matches the Rfam family "Eukaryotic large subunit ribosomal RNA", at positions 64 to 1266 of the family's 3401-position model. The record is from RNAcentral. Lineage: Eukaryota; Fungi; Ascomycota; Eurotiomycetes; Eurotiales; Aspergillaceae.
ACCAACCGGGAUUGCCUCAGUAACGGCGAGUGAAGCGGCAAGAGCUCAAAUUUGAAAGCUGGCUCCUUCGGAGUCCGCAUUGUAAUUUGCAGAGGAUGCUUUGGGUGCGGCCCCCGUCUAAGUGCCCUGGAACGGGCCGUCAGAGAGGGUGAGAAUCCCGUCUUGGGCGGGGUGUCCGUGCCCGUGUAAAGCUCCUUCGACGAGUCGAGUUGUUUGGGAAUGCAGCUCUAAAUGGGUGGUAAAUUUCAUCUAAAGCUAAAUACUGGCCGGAGACCGAUAGCGCACAAGUAGAGUGAUCGAAAGAUGAAAAGCACUUUGAAAAGAGAGUUAAACAGCACGUGAAAUUGUUGAAAGGGAAGCGCUUGCGACCAGACUCGCCCGCGGGGUUCAGCCGGCAUUCGUGCCGGUGUACUUCCCCGUGGGCGGGCCAGCGUCGGUUUGGGCGGCCGGUCAAAGGCCCCUGGAAUGUAGUACCCUCCGGGGUACCUUAUAGCCAGGGGUGCAAUGCGGCCAGCCUGGACCGAGGAACGCGCUUCGGCACGGACGCUGGCAUAAUGGUCGUAAACGACCCGUCUUGAAACACGGACCAAGGAGUCUAACAUCUACGCGAGUGUUCGGGUGUCAAACCCGUGCGCGCAGUGAAAGCGAACGGAGGUGGGAGCCCCCUCGCGGGGCGCACCAUCGACCGAUCCUGAUGUCUUCGGAUGGAUUUGAGUAAGAGCGUAAAUGUGGGGACCCGAAAGAUGGUGAACUAUGCCUGAAUAGGGCGAAGCCAGAGGAAACUCUGGUGGAGGCUCGCAGCGGUUCUGACGUGCAAAUCGAUCGUCAAAUUUGGGUAUAGGGGCGAAAGACUAAUCGAACCAUCUAGUAGCUGGUUCCUGCCGAAGUUUCCCUCAGGAUAGCAGUAACGCAAAAUCAGUUUUAUGAGGUAAAGCGAAUGAUUAGAGGCAUUGGGGUUGAAACAACCUUAACCUAUUCUCAAACUUUAAAUAUGUAAGAAGCCCUUGUUGCUUAGUUGAACGUGGGCAUUAGAAUGGAGCGUUACUAGUGGGCCAUUUUUGGUAAGCAGAACUGGCGAUGCGGGAUGAACCGAACGCGAGGUUAAGGUGCCGGAAUGCACGCUCAUCAGACACCACAAAAGGUGUUAGUUCAUCUAGACAGCCCGACGGUGGCCAUGGAAGUCGGAA